AGGGUUUGAUCAUGGCUCAGAUUGAACGCUGGCGGCGUGCCUAACACAUGCAAGUCGAGCGGUAACAGGUGUAGCAAUACAUGCUGACGAGCGGCGGACGGGUGAGUAACGCUUGGGAAUCUGCCUGUUAGUGGGGGACAACACGGGGAAACUCGUGCUAAUACCGCAUACGCACUACGGUGGAAAGCCGGGGACCGCAAGGCCUGGCGCUAACAGAUGAGCCCAAGUCGGAUUAGCUAGUUGGUAGGGUAACGGCCUACCAAGGCGACGAUCCGUAACUGGUCUGAGAGGACGACCAGUCACACCGGAACUGAGACACGGUCCGGACUCCUACGGGAGGCAGCAGUGGGGAAUAUUGGACAAUGGGGGCAACCCUGAUCCAGCGACGCCGCGUGGGUGAAGAAGGCCUGCGGGUUGUAAAGCCCUUUCGGUUGGGAAGAAAAGCUGUGACCUAACACGUUGCGGCCUUGACGUAACCAACUAAAGAAGCACCGGCUAACUCUGUGCCAGCAGCCGCGGUAAUACAGAGGGUGCGAGCGUUAAUCGGAAUUACUGGGCGUAAAGCGCGCGUAGGCGGCUUUGUAAGUCGGUUGUGAAAUCCCCGGGCUUAACCUGGGAACUGCAUCCGAGACUGCAUGGCUAGAGUAUGGGAGAGGGAAGUGGAAUUUCAGGUGUAGCGGUGAAAUGCGUAGAUAUCUGAAGGAACAUCAGUGGCGAAAGCGACUUCCUGGACCAAUACUGACGCUCAUGUGCGAAAGCGUGGGGAGCAAACAGGAUUAGAUACCCUGGUAGUCCACGCCAUAUACGAUGAGAACUGGAUGUCGGAGGGGUCUGCCCUUCGGU
Molecule: ribosomal RNA, 843 nt
Filed under: uncultured Gammaproteobacteria bacterium
Lineage: Bacteria; Pseudomonadati; Pseudomonadota; Gammaproteobacteria
Description: bacterial SSU rRNA
Rfam family: Bacterial small subunit ribosomal RNA
Source: RNAcentral